RNAcentral lists this unclassified non-coding RNA (253 nucleotides) under uncultured Parcubacteria group bacterium. RNAcentral's name for it is "contains 16S-23S intergenic spacer region". It matches the Rfam family "Bacterial small subunit ribosomal RNA", at positions 524 to 776 of the family's 1533-position model. The record is from RNAcentral.
UACAGAAGCCCCGAGCGUUACCCGGAUUUACUGGGCGUAAAGGGUGCGUAGGCGGUGCUAUUAGUCUUUCGUUAAAACUUCGGGCUCAACCCGAAGAUCGCGAAGGAAACGGUAGCACUAGAGAAUGUGAGGGGUGUGCGGAACUCAUGGUGUAGGGGUGAAAUCCGUUGAUAUCAUGGGGAACACCGAAAGCGAAGGCAGCACACUGGCGCAUUUCUGACGCUGAGGCACGAAAGCGUGGGUAGCGAACGGG